This 480-nucleotide ribosomal RNA is filed under the name uncultured bacterium. RNAcentral's name for it is "bacterial SSU rRNA". It matches the Rfam family "Bacterial small subunit ribosomal RNA", at positions 501 to 981 of the family's 1533-position model. The record is from RNAcentral.
CUACGUGCCAGCAGCCGCGGUAAUACGGAAGGUCCAGGCGUUAUCCGGAUUUAUUGGGUUUAAAGGGAGCGUAGGCCGUGGAUUAAGCGUGUUGUGAAAUGUAGACGCUCAACGUCUGAAUUGCAGCGCGAACUGGUUCACUUGAGUAUGCACAACGUAGGCGGAAUUCGUCGUGUAGCGGUGAAAUGCUUAGAUAUGACGAAGAACUCCGAUUGCGAAGGCAGCUUACGGGAGCACAACUGACGCUGAAGCUCGAAGGUGCGGGUAUCAAACAGGAUUAGAUACCCUGGUAGUCCGCACAGUAAACGAUGGAUGCCCGUUGUUAGUUCACUUUAGAAUUAGCGACCAAGCGAAAGCAUUAAGCAUCCCACCUGGGGAGUACGCCGGCAACGGUGAAACUCAAAGGAAUUGACGGGGGCCCGCACAAGCGGAGGAACAUGUGGUUUAAUUCGAUGAUACGCGAGGAACCUUACCCGGGCU